UGAGGAAUAUUGGUCAAUGGCCGAGAGGCUGAACCAGCCAAGCCGCGUGAGGGAAGAAGGUACAGAGUAUCGUAAACCUCUUUUGUCGGGGAACAAAGCGGGACGCGUCCCCGUCUGCGUGUACCCGAAGAAAAGCAUCGGCUAACUCCGUGCC
This 154-nucleotide ribosomal RNA is filed under the name uncultured bacterium. RNAcentral describes it as "partial 16S ribosomal RNA". It matches the Rfam family "Bacterial small subunit ribosomal RNA", at positions 355 to 509 of the family's 1533-position model. The record is from RNAcentral.